CCUACGGGGGGCAGCAGUGAGGAAUAUUGGUCAAUGGACGAGAGUCUGAACCAGCCAAGUAGCGUGAAGGAUGACUGCCCUAUGGGUUGUAAACUUCUUUUAUAUGGGAAUAAAAUGUUCCACGUGUGGGAUUUUGUAUGUACCAUAUGAAUAAGGAUCGGCUAACUUCGUGCCAGCAGCCGCGGUAAUACGGAGGAUCCGAGCGUUAUCCGGAUUUAUUGGGUUUAAAGGGAGCGUAGGUGGAUUGUUAAGUCAGUUGUGAAAGUUUGCGGCUCAACCGUAAAAUUGCAAUUGAUACUGGCAGACUUGAGUACAGUUGAGGUAGGCGGAAUUCGUGGUGUAGCGGUGAAAUGCUUAGAUAUCACGAAGAACUCCGAUUGCGAAGGCAGCUUACUAAACUGCCACUGACAUUGAUGCUCGAAAGUGUGGGUAGCAAACAGGAUUAGAUACCCCAGUAGUC
This 460-nucleotide ribosomal RNA is filed under the name uncultured bacterium. RNAcentral describes it as "partial 16S ribosomal RNA". It matches the Rfam family "Bacterial small subunit ribosomal RNA", at positions 338 to 795 of the family's 1533-position model. The record is from RNAcentral.